RNAcentral lists this unclassified non-coding RNA (3772 nucleotides) under Leishmania donovani. RNAcentral describes it as "gene:LdHU3.01.0400(CDS-product:hypothetical_prote in_conserved)". The record is from RNAcentral. Lineage: Eukaryota; Euglenozoa; Kinetoplastea; Trypanosomatida; Trypanosomatidae.
CCGCUUCUUUUCGCCGCAGCCGCACUAGGGAGAGGAGAACGACGACCGAAGGAGACGGACGUUUUCUGUCGACAUCUGCGUUCUCGAACCACAGAGCACACGCCACCACCACAGGACCGAGAGCAGCCUCCCUAUCUAGCCACACAUAUCUUUAUCUAUCUAGAUACGUAAUACCAAAGGGCAACGACGAGGGGAAGCGCACAGGGAAAGGGUGUAUCACUCCUGCAUGCGACGUGAUGCCGUAGAGGUGAUAUCGAAGUCGUUGGUGCGUGCGCGCUUGCUUUCGUUUUAUCGUGGUAGAGCGUUCAAUUUUUAUUUUAUUGUCUCUCAUAGAGCGCCGACCGCUCGAGCGCAAACCCUAUCGCGUACACCCACCGUACGUACACGGGCACACAGACACACGCCUGUUCCCCCCCCCACACACACACAUAUAUAUAUAUAUACAGACGUACAUAGACGUACCUCCCCCAUCCCCUCCUUCUUGCAGCGAGUCUUCCCGGCCAACGCGUGCACGCACGCACGAACUACAGACGGCAACGAAAUACAUAAGGAAAAGACAGCAACCACACGAUAGCAACGGUUUUCUGUCAAGGGUGGGGCGCUCUCCCUCCACCGCUCUCUGGUGUGUGUCCUGCGACGGGGGCAAAAUAGGCGAGAGAAGCGCGCACGUACCGCUGCGGAUACGCAACGGCCCGUGCUGCGACGACGGCCACCACCACCGCUGUGCGCUUUCUCGCAUCUUUUUUUGUGUGCGUGUGUCUCGGUGCCCGCCAUGUCCUCGCUGGAGGCACUCUUGAGCUCGCCGACGGACGUCAUCGCCGAGUGUCCUGUCAUUGGCCCCGGCGAUGUGCGGCUGGUGGCCGCCAAUCUUGAGGCCAUCUUGAACAAGUGUCUCUACUGCGUCCGCCGGACGCUGCCCGGUCCGUUGGAGGUGCUGCUCACCGUUAUGGGUGACGCCAGCGACCUUCAGGCAAAUAAAGUGUGUGCGGGUCUGCUGCAGCCCGCCGAGGAGGGCACCUGCGCGGACGUCUUUUGCGACUUGGCGGAGCAGCUGCUGGCGCGCCGAGCCGCGGUCAUUCGCCUGCAGUUCGAUGUGGAGGUGUUCUUCAAGGUGACGCAGGUGUUUUGCUGUGCCGCGCCGCUCAAGGAUCGACUCGGCGCACGCCUUGGUGAGGUGCUGUUGGGCUUCUUGAGGGACGUUGACAUGCACGCCGACGACUACCGCGUACACCGCAACUGCUGCAGCGCCCUCAUCUCCCUCCUGCGCGGGUCGCAGGAGAAUAAGAACCGCUUCGGCCCCGAGUGCGCCACGAUCGCCGCCUGCCUCGACGCCUCGAGUGACUUCUUCUUCCAGAUGCAGUGUGUCGAGGUGCUCUACCGGCUGUACAAGCAUCGUAGCUCCUUCCUAGCCCAUGCUGCGGCGCCGGCCACGUCCACGUCAUUAUCCUCGUCGUCGGCCAACGCGAUGACGUUGGGUGUGGCCAUCAACCCAUAUCUGCUGCGAGGCAUCGAGGCGCUGCCCAACGACAGCACGCUUCUGCUUUGUAUUCAUCAACUGCUGGACAGCUACAACCGUGACGUGCACCCAGACAAGGUCAUAUCAUUUUCGGUUCUGAGCAUCGAGGUGGGGGACGUGACGAUGGCGCGCGCGACGACGCUGUACUUCUCGCCGUUGUUGUUGGUCGUGCUGCUUCCCGACACCAGUAGCAGCAGCCGCGGUGGCGGUGGCGGCUACCUCACGAUCCCCUACGAGCACGUCCGCUCCGUCAAGUUGACGAAGGACCACAAGCUGGAGCUGCGCCUGUAUGUCAUUCCACAAAAACUGUCGCACGUGAUGAGCUUGGCGCAGGACGGGAUGGACAAGCUCCACGUUUCGCUGACCCGCGCCACCAUGCGCGAACUGCGCACGUCUGCCGUGCAUGAGUGGGUGGCAGAGCGGAAGCGCACGGCGCCGCGCCGCGUGACAGCGCCGGCACCACCCCCGUUACGCCGGACAGAGGCGGCAGGAGCUGGCCAUGCCCUGCCCGCCGCCUCGUCAACUUCGCCCGCACCGCCAUCGUCCUCCCACGCGAGCAGCCGUGCAGGCUCCACCGCGCGUCCGCUGCUGACGACGACCAUGACGGAGCGGCAGGUGAAUACGCAUCAGGGCGUCGGCACAGGCAGUCAGCAACAACCACUCGCGCGGGGCGAGCUGCCGCACCCACAGCUCGUGGAGGCAGUACAGCAGCAGCAGCAGCAGCAGGCUCAACAGGAACAGGGUGGACCAGCGUACGUGAACAGCAGCGGUGGCUACGCCGCCGCGGACAAGGAGGCAGGGGGGCAGUGCGAGCGCCCAUGCCUAGAAGAGGUGCACCGUGCUGCCUCGCUCAAGGCGAUGCGUUACCGGGAGGAACAGCACGAGGCGCUGCAGCACGCCGUGGACUCGGCGAAGGAGGAGCUGGAGGCGCUGCAUCGCUGGAGCGCGCGGGAGCGUGACCAGUACGAGGUGCGCUUCCGCGAAGACAUGGAAGUGAUACGGCGGUCGGAAGCAGUGCUGAAGGAGAGCGCCACGGACUGCGUGCGGGCGUUGAACACGGAACUGGAGGACGUGCAAGCCCUCGGUGCUCUCCUGAAAGGUGAGGUAGACAAGCUGCGGGAGCAACUCGCCAAGUCGCUCGGCAAGUCGGAGGGCGUCGAGGAGGCGCUCCUAGCGCGAAUCAAACACACAGUCGAUGCCCAGAUGCGCAGUAUCGAGGCGACGAUGCUCUCGGUGGACUCGGCAGCCUCCUCCUCGACUGGCGCCGGUGGCGGCUCAAUUAGCGACGUCUCAAACUACAUUGCACAGCAGAUGCAGGCUAUCAGCAGCGGCGCGCUUGUGGUGGGUGCCGCUGGUGCUCGAGCGAGCACUGCUGCUGCUGCCGGUGGUGGGAGCGCGGUCAUCUCCUCUGCACGAGGCACCGGCAGCGGGCGAGCUGGGAAGGCACGGCAUGAGCCGCAGCUGCAGCCGCUGAAGGAGCGCCGUCUGGACUACUCGUGAGCCUCCACAAAAUGAAGUUUUGAAGAGAAGUAUGCAGAUAUCCCUCAUGGUUCAGCGGCUCACCAUCAUCCCCCCCUCCCCGCCGCUGAUGCUGUAGCCUCUUGUUUCUUCAAGCGCUGCCGACUGUGUUGCUGAUGGAGUUGGCUCUUCGCUGCUCGCAGUCUUUGUGCGUGUGUGUGCGUGCGUGCUUGGGUCUUCCGCUCGUUCGUGCAGGUCGUGCCUGGCGAGUGACCUCACAGGUAUAUUACCCGUGCAGAGAUAGAGAUGGGGAGGGGAGGGUGUGAGUGCACGCUGGCACUGGCAUGUGCAUGCACAAACCUGCAGUCAGCAUGCGAAUCGCACGUACGCGCGCACCCAUGGAACGGGGAGAUGAACGAAAAUGAGCAAGCUAUAUGGGGAGGCGGGAGGGUGCGGGGAGGGGUGGCGCAGAGCCGACGUUAGUGACGGUGGAGGUGAUGAUGAUGGCGAUGCGCGGCGGUGUGCGCUUAAGCACCGCAACAAGAACAACAACAACAAAAAACUAGAAAGCAUGAUCGAAAGUGCCACUCCUCUCCAACAUGCUCCCUCGUUCUCGCACCCCACCACGCGCGUUACCGUCUCUACGUGUGUGUGUGUGUGUGUGUGUGUAGGUAUUGCACAUACGCCCCUCACCGUGCCACCACCACCACCAUCACCUUCCUCCCUCUUUGUGUAUUCGGGUUGUCUGUCGUGUGACCCUCUCCUAUUCACACAACCGCGGCAUCCACCGUACCCAAG